Molecule: ribosomal RNA, 467 nt
Filed under: uncultured bacterium
Lineage: Bacteria
Description: partial 16S ribosomal RNA
Rfam family: Bacterial small subunit ribosomal RNA
Source: RNAcentral
GACGAACGCUGGCGGCGUGCUUAACACAUGCAAGUCGAACGGAAAGGCCAUGCUCUUGUGGGGUGCUCGAGUGGCGAACGGGUGAGUAACACGUGAGUAACCUGCCCUUGACUUUGGGAUAACUUCAGGAAACUGGGGCUAAUACCGGAUAGGAGCUCCUGCUGCAUGGUGGGGGUUGGAAAGUUUCGGCGGUUGGGGAUGGACUCGCGGCUUAUCAGCUUGUUGGUGGGUAGUGGCUUACCAAGGCUUUGACGGGUAGCCGGCCUGAGAGGGUGACCGGGCACAUUGGGCCUGAGGUACGGCCCAGACUCCUACGGGAGGCAGCAGUGGGGAAUAUUACACAAUGGGCGGAAGCCUGAUGCAGCAACGCCGCGUUCGGGAUGACGGCCUUCGAGUUGUAAACCGCUUUCGCCUGUGACGAAGCGUGAUUGACGGUAAUGGGUAAAGAAGCACCGGCUAACUACGUG